UAUCUCUGUAGAGUCUGCAUAUCAAUAAGCGGAGGAAAAGAAACUAACAAGGAUUCCCUUAGUAACGGCGAGUGAAGCGGGAAGAGCUCAAAUUUGAAAUCUUCAAGGUUCUGACCUUGACGAAUUGUAGUUUAAAGAAGUGUUUUCGGUUAGAGGAGUAGCUAAAAGUUCUUCGGAAUAGGACAUCAUAGAGGGUGAGAAUCCCGUAUUUGACUAUUCUUUCUAGCUUUGUGAUACGCUUUCAAAGAGUCGGAUUGUUUGGGAGUGCAGUCCAAAAUGGGUGGUAAAUUUCAUCUAAAGCUAAAUAUUGGCGAGAGACCGAUAGCGAACAAGUACCGUGAGGGAAAGAUGAAAAGAACUUUGAAAAGAGAGUUAAACAGUACGUGAAAUUGUCAAAAGGGAAGCGUUUGACACCAGUGUUGUUUUUCCGAAAAUCAAUUAAAAAUUGAUUCAUGCCAGGUUGUAUUGACCUUAUCAGCUUGCAAUUUGGUUUUGGGUCUCUUUUUGAUGCACUUUUCGGUUAACAAGUCAACAUCAAUUUCCUUUGCUGUAAAAAGGUAAGAGGAAGGUGGCUUCAAUUUCGGUUGAAGUGUUUAUAGCCUUUUAUCUCUGCAGUCGGGGAGAUUGAGGUCUGCAGCGUAGAUCCUUCGGGGCUAGAUACAUUUAUGCUAAGUUAUAGCCUUUCAUAGACAACUUGUUGACUAUGUUUAGUCAUGUAGCUUACUCGUAAGUGCUAUUUUACCUACGCUUAGGAUGUUGAAGACUCUACAGAGAUA
RNAcentral lists this ribosomal RNA (776 nucleotides) under uncultured Neocallimastigales. Its description in RNAcentral is "partial large subunit ribosomal RNA". It matches the Rfam family "Eukaryotic large subunit ribosomal RNA", at positions 24 to 642 of the family's 3401-position model. Lineage: Eukaryota; Fungi; Neocallimastigomycota; Neocallimastigomycetes; Neocallimastigales. The record is from RNAcentral.